GAUAAACGCUGGCGGCGUGCUUCAGGCAUGCAAGUCGAACGAGCGACCCCGGCUUGCCGGGGAAGCUAGUGGCGGACGGGUGAGUAACACGUAAGCAACCUGCCCAAAAGUGGGGAAUAACCCACCGAAAGGUGAGCUAAUACCGCAUGUGAUGAGUUCCCCCUGGGGAAUUCAUUAAAGGAUUUAUUCGCUUUUGGAGGGGCUUGCGGCCGAUUAGCUAGUUGGUAGGGUAAUGGCCUACCAAGGCGACGAUCGGUAGCUGGUCUGAGAGGACGGACAGCCACACGGGGACUGAGAUACGGCCCCGACUCCUACGGGAGGCAGCAGCUAGGAAUCUUGGGAAUGGGCGAAAGCCUGACCCAGCAACGCCGCGUGGGCGAUGAAGGCCUUCGGGUCGUAAAGCCCUUUUGCAAGGGACGAUAAUGACGGUACCUUGCGAAUAAGCCACGGCUAACUACGUGCCAGCAGCCGCAGUAACAC
Molecule: ribosomal RNA, 480 nt
Filed under: uncultured bacterium
Lineage: Bacteria
Description: bacterial SSU rRNA
Rfam family: Bacterial small subunit ribosomal RNA
Source: RNAcentral